This 648-nucleotide ribosomal RNA is filed under the name Salmonella enterica. Its description in RNAcentral is "partial 23S ribosomal RNA". It matches the Rfam family "Bacterial large subunit ribosomal RNA", at positions 536 to 1190 of the family's 2925-position model. The record is from RNAcentral. Lineage: Bacteria; Pseudomonadati; Pseudomonadota; Gammaproteobacteria; Enterobacterales; Enterobacteriaceae.
GAGCGAAAGCGACGUUCAACCGCAAAACAAGCAGAGGGGGCUUAGUGGUGGGGUGACUGCGUACCUUUUGUAUAAUGGGUCAGCGACUUAUAUUCUGUAGCAAGGUUAACCGUAUAGGGGAGCCGGAGGGAAACCGAGUCUUAAUUGGGCGUUAAGUUGCAGGGUAUAGACCCGAAACCCGGUGAUCUAGCCAUGGGCAGGUUGAAGGUUGGGUAACACUAACUGGAGGACCGAACCGACUAAUGUUGAAAAAUUAGCGGAUGACCUGUGGCUGGGGGUGAAAGGCCAAUCAAACCGGGAGAUAGCUGGUUCUCCCCGAAAGCUAUUUAGGUAGCGCCUCGUGAAUUCAUCUCCGGGGGUAGAGCACUGUUUCGGCUAGGGGGCCAUCCCGGCUUACCAACCCGAUGCAAACUGCGAAUACCGGAGAAUGUUAUCACGGGAGACACACGGCGGGUGCUAACGUCCGUCGUGAAGAGGGAAACAACCCAGACCGCCAGCUAAGGUCCCAAAGUCAUGGUUAAGUGGGAAACGAUGUGGGAAGGCCCAGACAGCCAGGAUGUUGGCUUAGAAGCAGCCAUCAUUUAAAGAAAGCGUAAUAGCUCACUGGUCGAGUCGGCCUGCGCGGAAGAUGUAACGGGGCUAAACCAU